Molecule: ribosomal RNA, 3088 nt
Filed under: Citrus unshiu (satsuma mandarin)
Lineage: Eukaryota; Viridiplantae; Streptophyta; Magnoliopsida; Sapindales; Rutaceae
Description: bacterial LSU rRNA
Rfam family: Bacterial large subunit ribosomal RNA (bases 1391-3088)
Source: RNAcentral
AUAGAUAUGUAAUUGGGUGCAGAUUUUACCUACAAUUGGAUGGAUGUCACUUGAAGGGCCUAUACAAUGGAGUAUUGUUAUCUGUUGUUGCAUUAGAUGCUAACAUUAGAAUUUUUCCAUUGGCUUUUUGCAUAUAUCAUGCGGAGAACUAUGCCAGUUGAGGUUAUUUUUUGUUCUUUGCUCAAUGAAUUCAUUGGGCUUGAUGAUCAUAGGCCUGUGACCAUUAUUAAUGAUAGAAAAAAGGUCAUUUAUGGGGACUUGAAAAAUACUAGCCUAAUGCUAGUACUAGAUAUUGUGCUAGACAUAUCUUUGCUUAUUUGAAAUGUAGGUUUCUUGGUUUGAAUGUCAUGAGGUUGUUCUGAAAAGCUUGUAGGGCUACAAAUCAAUAUGACUUUGAAAGGGCAAUGUGUUGAAUUAGAGCUAAAGAUCAAAAUUGUUGUGAAUGGUUGAGAAAAAUACCAGCUACACAGUGGUCAAAAAGCAAGUUUGAUCACCAUAUGAAAUUUGACUAUGUUACAAAAAACAUGACCGAAUCUUUUAACAAGUGGGUAGAUGAGAUUAGGGCCAAGCCUGUCCUAAUCAUUUUGAGUGUAUUCAAAGACAGCUAAUGGUGAGAAUGUUGGAAAAAUAUCAACAAGGGGAAAAUUUACAAGACUAUUUGACACCAUAUGCUAAAGAGAGACUAAACCAAUCUUCAAAUGAAGUAAGAAGAGUUAGGGUCUUUGGAAGUGGAGAAGAGUUGUUGGAAUGUUGUCAAGCUAGUUGUAGAAACUUUCUGGUACAUAUUACAGAGUAUGUGCAAAAGUGGGAUUUGGCAAGUUAAUGGAUUGCCUUACAAACAUGAAAUGGCUACUAUUCUUCAUAAGGUAGGAUAACCUGACGAUUAUGUGCAUCACUAUCUGACCAAGGAAUUUUUUAUGAUGACACAUAUAGGGUAUAAAAUCCAGUUCCUGAUUAGUGUGCGCGGCCUGAAGUGGAAGUUGAACCUUCACCUGACAUAGAAGUUCUAGUUGGUAGGCCCAAAAGAACAAAAGAACCUAGUGAGGCCAAACCAACUAGUAUAAGGCUUACCAUCGAAUGUAAUACUUGCAAAUGGCUUGAGCACAACAAAAGGGGCUACCCCAAUUUUCCAAAAACCACAAGAAUCACAAUAGUAUAAUUUGAAUGUCAGUUUAAUUUUUUUUUUUUAAUUUCAAUGAGUGAAGUUAACAAAUAUUGAUUUUGAUGUUGUGUAGGGAAACAAUAGGACUACAUCAAGUGCAUAGGUUUAAGUUAAUUAUGAAAAUUUAAUUGAAAAGAAUUUUUUUUUUGUUCUUUUUCAUUAAAUUGCUUAAAAGUUGGUGAUGUUGGUUGUGUGCAGGGAAGCAAUAUGACUUCAUCAAGCGCACAUGUUUAAUUUAGUUAUAAAAAUUCAACUGGAAAGGAUUCUUUUCCUUUUUUGUGUUAUUUUUCAUUGCUUAAAUCCUGGUGAUGUUUCUUGUGUGCAGGCAAGCAAUGUCGCUUCAUCAUUUGCGUAGGUUUGAUUUUGUAAUUGAUGAAGAAGAUCACCUUUUAUAUAAUAUAUAUAUAUAUAUAUAUACCGGCACAGAAAAGAGGAGAUGUAACCAGGCGCUUAAGCGGCGCUGAAGUAACCAUGCUAUACUCCCAGGAAAAGCUCGAACGACCUUCAACAAAAGGGUAACCUUGUACCCGAACCGACACAGGGGGUAGGAGAGAAUAUACCUAGGGGCCGCGAGAACAACUCUCUCUGUAAGGAACUCCGGCAAAAUAGCCACGUAACUUCGGGAAAGGGGUGCCUCCUCAAAAAGGGGGGUCGCAGUGACCAGGCCGGGCGACUGUUUACCAAAAACACAGGUCUCCGCAAAGUCGUAAGACCAAUGGUAUGGGGGCCUGACGCCUGCCCAGUGCCGGAAGGUCAAGAAGUUGUGACCUGAUGACAGGGGAAGCCGGCGGACCGAAGCCCCGUGAACGGCGCCGUAACCUAUAACGGUCCUAAGGUAGCGAAAUUCCCUUGUCGGGUAGUUCCGACCCACGAAAGGCGUAACAUCUGGGCACUGUCUCGGAGAGAGGCUUCGGUGAAAUAGACAUGUCUGUGAAGAGCGGACGUACCUGCACGCGUGGACAGAAAGACCUAUGAAAGCUUCACUGUUCCCCCUGGGAUGGCUUUGGGCCUUUUCCUGCGCAGCUUAUGGUGGAAGGCGAAGAAGGCCUCCCUUCCGGGGGGGCCGAGCCAUCCAGUGAGAUCCACUCAUGGAAAGCUAGAAAUUCUAUACCUUGUGUCAGACUACGGGCCCAAGGACAUCCUCAGGUCAGACAGUUUCUAUGGGGCGUAGCCUCCCCAAAAGGUAACGGAGGCGUCGCAAAGGUUCUCCUCGGCCGACGGAGAUUGGCCCUCGAGUGCAAAGGCCAGAAGGGAGCUUCGACUGAAGACCCAACCCCGUCGAGCAGGGACGAAAGUCGGCCUUAGUGAUCCGACGGUGCCGAGUGGAAGGGCCGUCGCUCCAAACGGAUCAAAUGUUACUAGGGCAUAACAGCGCGUGAUCUUCCCCAAGACUUCACAUCGACGGGAAGGGUUUGGUCACCUCCGAUGUCGGCUCUUCGCCACCUGGGGCUGUAGUAAUGUUCCAAGGUUGGGCUGUUCGCCCAUUAAAGCGGUACUGAGCUGGGUUUCAGAAACGGUCGGAGACAGUUCGGUUCCAUAUCCGGUGUGGGCGUUAGAGCAUUGAGAGGACCUUUCCCUAGUACCUGAGAGGACCGCGAAGGACGCAGCCUCUGGUGUACCAGUUAUCGCUGCCCACGGUUAAACGCUGGGUAGCCAAGUGCGGAGCGGAUAACUGCUGAAAGCAUCUAAGUAGUAAGCCCACCCCAAGAUGAGUGCUCUCCUUAUUCCGACUUCCCAGAGCCUACGGUAGCACAGCCGAGACAGCGACGGGUUCUCCUGCCUGCGGGGAUGGAGCGACCAAGUUUUUGAGAAUUCAAGAGAAGGUCACGGCGAGACGAGCCGUUUUAUCGAUUACAUAGGUGUCAAGUGGAAGCUGCAGUGAUGUAUGCAGCUGAGCAUCCCUAAACUAGACCGGUAGACUUGAAC